Molecule: long non-coding RNA, 971 nt
Filed under: Fukomys damarensis (Damara mole-rat)
Lineage: Eukaryota; Metazoa; Chordata; Mammalia; Rodentia; Bathyergidae
Description: lncRNA (ENSFDAG00000026218.1)
Source: RNAcentral
UCGUUCCUGUGGAGCGGGUAUUGAGGUUACUAUGGUAAUCCUAGCCCAUAAUAGUUCAGUCUUUUCCUUUAAAAGGCUGAUGCUUGCCUGCAAUAAACGUCGCCUUGAUCAGACUCUUGUCUUGGCGUUCUUCCUUUCUCUCUACCCCAUCUCCACCCCGCUGCUCUUUCAGGUUUGAGACACUGCUGGACAGUGCUCUGCAUCGCCGGCUCGCGACACUAAUGCAGUGGUUUCUGCCCUUCUCACAACUAAUGAUGCAAGGAGAUGUGUACUGAAUAAGUUUUCCUGGAUGUGAUGUUCACUGUUCAGAGUGAGCCACAGAAAGUAUUCAGGAUCCUUAAGAUAGAUGGUUUCCUUCAAGAGAGCAUACUGAAGUCUAGAAGCCUGGGGCCAAUAAUCAUACGAAGGUCUGAGCACAUGGUGACCCAGGAGAAGCCAAAUCUUUGAGUAGUGCCAGGAUUCAGGUAAGAGUAGGCCUGGGCCUGCAUCUCAGUACAAGACAUGGAAUCUCCACGGAAUUUGGUACGUGAUGGUGGGGACAAUGAGGGCUGUUUUUGCCUUACUUUUUUGUGUACAAGUACCCAGGGAAGCAAGGAAUGUGGAACUUUGCCAAUUUACUGACUGGGAAUUUGCGCUUGGUAUAUGGUGAAGGAAAAUGAAUGUUGAGGGCCUGUGUGUCCUUAGAUUGUGGGUACCCUUUUCCAGUGACAUUGUGGUGGACCAGCCUGAAGAACAGAAUGGAAAGAAUCUUUGCAGAGCUAGUUCAUGAGAUUUAGUUUUGUGGGAUGAUAGUGUCCUCUUCAGACUGGUUUUGUCAUGUGGGUGAAAUGAAAGCCUUCAAGUAGUGAUGUCCAGUGUGAGGGCCAGUUACUCUUGCAGAGCAAACUGCUUGCUGAAUUACAUGGUGUUAGCACAGUGUAGCUGGCUAAAUUCAGCAGUUCAGAAAAGUUUGUUGAGGAAUGGUUGCAGAU